Molecule: ribosomal RNA, 2918 nt
Filed under: Pseudomonas syringae pv. syringae
Lineage: Bacteria; Pseudomonadati; Pseudomonadota; Gammaproteobacteria; Pseudomonadales; Pseudomonadaceae
Description: bacterial LSU rRNA
Rfam family: Bacterial large subunit ribosomal RNA
Source: RNAcentral
GUUAUAUGGUCAAGUGAAGAAGCGCAUACGGUGGAUGCCUUGGCAGUCAGAGGCGAUGAAAGACGUGGUAGCCUGCGAAAAGCUUCGGGGAGUCGGCAAACAGACUGUGAUCCGGAGAUAUCUGAAUGGGGGAACCCAGCCAUCAUAAGAUGGUUAUCUUGUACUGAAUACAUAGGUGCAAGAGGCGAACCAGGGGAACUGAAACAUCUAAGUACCCUGAGGAAAAGAAAUCAACCGAGAUUCCCUUAGUAGUGGCGAGCGAACGGGGACCAGCCCUUAAGUUGUAUUGAGAUUAGCGGAACGUUCUGGAAAGGACGGCCAUAGUGGGUGAUAGCCCUGUACGCGAAAAUCCCUUUGCAAUGAAAUCGAGUAGGACGGGGCACGAGAAACCUUGUCUGAAUAUGGGGGGACCAUCCUCCAAGGCUAAAUACUACUGACUGACCGAUAGUGAACCAGUACCGUGAGGGAAAGGCGAAAAGAACCGCGGAGAGCGGAGUGAAAUAGAUCCUGAAACCGUAUGCGUACAAGCAGUGGGAGCCCACUUUGUUGGGUGACUGCGUACCUUUUGUAUAAUGGGUCAGCGACUUAUUUUCAGUGGCGAGCUUAACCGAAUAGGGGAGGCGUAGCGAAAGCGAGUCUUAAUAGGGCGUCUAGUCGCUGGGAAUAGACCCGAAACCGGGCGAUCUAUCCAUGGGCAGGUUGAAGGUUGGGUAACACUAACUGGAGGACCGAACCGACUACCGUUGAAAAGUUAGCGGAUGACCUGUGGAUCGGAGUGAAAGGCUAAUCAAGCUCGGAGAUAGCUGGUUCUCCUCGAAAGCUAUUUAGGUAGCGCCUCAUGUAUCACUGUAGGGGGUAGAGCACUGUUUCGGCUAGGGGGUCAUCCCGACUUACCAAACCGAUGCAAACUCCGAAUACCUACAAGUGCCGAGCAUGGGAGACACACGGCGGGUGCUAACGUCCGUCGUGAAAAGGGAAACAACCCAGACCGUCAGCUAAGGUCCCAAAGUCAUGGUUAAGUGGGAAACGAUGUGGGAAGGCUUAGACAGCUAGGAGGUUGGCUUAGAAGCAGCCACCCUUUAAAGAAAGCGUAAUAGCUCACUAGUCGAGUCGGCCUGCGCGGAAGAUGUAACGGGGCUCAAACCAUGCACCGAAGCUACGGGUAUCAUCUUAUGAUGAUGCGGUAGAGGAGCGUUCUGUAAGCCUGUGAAGGUGAGUUGAGAAGCUUGCUGGAGGUAUCAGAAGUGCGAAUGCUGACAUGAGUAACGACAAUGGGUGUGAAAAACACCCACGCCGAAAGACCAAGGUUUCCUGCGCAACGUUAAUCGACGCAGGGUUAGUCGGUCCCUAAGGCGAGGCUGAAAAGCGUAGUCGAUGGAAAACAGGUUAAUAUUCCUGUACUUCUGGUUAUUGCGAUGGAGGGACGGAGAAGGCUAGGCCAGCCUGGCGUUGGUUGUCCAGGUUUAAGGUGGUAGGCUGAGAUCUUAGGUAAAUCCGGGAUCUUAAGGCCGAGAGCUGAUGACGAGUGUUCUUUUAGAACACGAAGUGGUUGAUGCCAUGCUUCCAAGAAAAGCUUCUAAGCUUCAGGUAACCAGGAACCGUACCCCAAACCGACACAGGUGGUUGGGUAGAGAAUACCAAGGCGCUUGAGAGAACUCGGGUGAAGGAACUAGGCAAAAUGGCACCGUAACUUCGGGAGAAGGUGCGCCGGUGGAGGUGAAGCAUUUACUGCGUAAGCCCCUGCCGGUCGAAGAUACCAGGCCGCUGCGACUGUUUAUUAAAAACACAGCACUCUGCAAACACGAAAGUGGACGUAUAGGGUGUGACGCCUGCCCGGUGCCGGAAGGUUAAUUGAUGGGGUUAGCGCAAGCGAAGCUCUUGAUCGAAGCCCCGGUAAACGGCGGCCGUAACUAUAACGGUCCUAAGGUAGCGAAAUUCCUUGUCGGGUAAGUUCCGACCUGCACGAAUGGCGUAACGAUGGCGGCGCUGUCUCCACCCGAGACUCAGUGAAAUUGAAAUCGCUGUGAAGAUGCAGUGUAUCCGCGGCUAGACGGAAAGACCCCGUGAACCUUUACUAUAGCUUUGCACUGGACUUUGAAUUUGCUUGUGUAGGAUAGGUGGGAGGCUUUGAAGCGUGGACGCCAGUCUGCGUGGAGCCAACCUUGAAAUACCACCCUGGCAACUUUGAGGUUCUAACUCAGGUCCGUUAUCCGGAUCGAGGACAGUGUAUGGUGGGUAGUUUGACUGGGGCGGUCUCCUCCUAAAGAGUAACGGAGGAGUACGAAGGUGCGCUCAGACCGGUCGGAAAUCGGUCGUAGAGUAUAAAGGCAAAAGCGCGCUUGACUGCGAGACAGACACGUCGAGCAGGUACGAAAGUAGGUCUUAGUGAUCCGGUGGUUCUGUAUGGAAGGGCCAUCGCUCAACGGAUAAAAGGUACUCCGGGGAUAACAGGCUGAUACCGCCCAAGAGUUCAUAUCGACGGCGGUGUUUGGCACCUCGAUGUCGGCUCAUCACAUCCUGGGGCUGAAGCCGGUCCCAAGGGUAUGGCUGUUCGCCAUUUAAAGUGGUACGCGAGCUGGGUUUAGAACGUCGUGAGACAGUUCGGUCCCUAUCUGCCGUGGACGUUUGAGAUUUGAGAGGGGCUGCUCCUAGUACGAGAGGACCGGAGUGGACGAACCUCUGGUGUUCCGGUUGUCACGCCAGUGGCAUUGCCGGGUAGCUAUGUUCGGAAAAGAUAACCGCUGAAAGCAUCUAAGCGGGAAACUUGCCUCAAGAUGAGAUCUCACUGGAACCUUGAGUUCCCUGAAGGGCCGUCGAAGACUACGACGUUGAUAGGUUGGGUGUGUAAGCGCUGUGAGGCGUUGAGCUAACCAAUACUAAUUGCCCGUGAGGCUUGACCAUAUAACACCCAAGCAAUU